CCGGGGAAUAUUGGCAAUGGGGGAAACCCUGCUCCAGCGACGCCGCGUGUGUGAAGAAGGCCUGCGGGUUGUAAAGCACUUUUAGUGGGGAUGAAAAGCUCAGGGCUAAUACCCCUGGGUCUUGACCUAACCCACAGAAAAAGCACCGGCUAACUCUGUGCCAGCAGCCGCGGUAAGACGGAGGGUGCUAGCGUUGUUCGGAAUGACUGGGCGUAAAGGGCGCGUAGGCGGCUUUUAUUAGUUGGGCGUGAAAGCCCCGGGCUUAACCUGGGAACUGCGUUCAAUACUGUAAGGCUUGAGGAUGGAAGAGGAGAGUGGAAUUCCUAGUGUAGAGGUGAAAUUCGUAGAUAUUAGGAGGAACACCAGAGGCGAAGGCGGCUCUCUGGUCCGUUACUGACGCUGAGGCGCGAAAGCGUGGGGAGCAAACAGGAUUAGAUACCCUGGUAGUCCACGCCGUAAACGAUGAGUGCUAGACGUCGGGCUUUUGGCUCGGUGUUGCAGCUAACGCAUUAAGCACUCCGCCUGGGGAGUACGGUCCAGAUAAU
RNAcentral lists this ribosomal RNA (545 nucleotides) under uncultured bacterium. RNAcentral describes it as "bacterial SSU rRNA". It matches the Rfam family "Bacterial small subunit ribosomal RNA", at positions 354 to 895 of the family's 1533-position model. The record is from RNAcentral.